This 1411-nucleotide long non-coding RNA is filed under the name Mytilus galloprovincialis (Mediterranean mussel). Lineage: Eukaryota; Metazoa; Mollusca; Bivalvia; Mytilida; Mytilidae. The record is from RNAcentral.
CUCUAUUAUGAUGUAAACAAUAUAAAUUUCAAACUAAGUAUUACAAAAUUACAAAAUGGUAAUAAAAUAUCAGUAUGUAUUUUUACUUAAUUACAAAUCUAUAUAAAUCCAUCAAACCUUCAGAGUCCUUUUAUCACAAUAUUUGAAGAUUGAUUUUGUGGUUAUUUACGAAGACUUUCACUAUAGACUUCAGCAUUCAUUGGUCGUAUGACACCUCUUGACUAUCAGUAUAAAUACUAAGAUAAGAGGGUACCAGAAUCUGACAGGUUUAGCCAAAUGAUUAAUUUAUGGAUUAAAGUCUUGGAAAAUAUUGGAAUUGAAGGCUUUGCUAUAUUACAGAUCCUUAAAAAUAUAUGCAAUUGUUAAAAAAAAUUAAUUCUAAAUUAGUUACAAUUUUUGUUGACAGUAAACACUCAAGCAUUGUAUAUCCUUUUUGUAAAUGAAGUUAAAGAAACAUUAAAUCAGUGAAUAUUAAUUUUGUUGAGGUAGGGAAUACCCUCAAACAGUAAAAGCUGUUAUUUGAAAGCUAAAUUCCUACAAGAUAUUUCUUCCAAACAGGAGAAGCUGUUAUUUGAAAGCUAACUUCCUACAGCGGAUUUGUCAAAAAAAAGUGGAAGCUGUUAUUUGAAAGCUAACUUCGUACAGGGAUUUUCUCCAAAGGAGUAGAAGCUGUUAUUUAAAAGCUAUCUCCCUAAAAGGGGAUUUCACAAAAAGAGUGGAAGCUGUUAUUUGAAAGCUAACAGGGGAUUUCUUUAAAACAGUGGAAGCUGUUAUUUGAAAGCUAACUUUCUACAGAGAAUUUCCCCCAAACAGUGGAAGCUGUUAUUUGAAAGCUAACAUCCUACAGGGGAUUUCUCCAAAACAUUGGAAGCUGUUAUUUGAAAGCUAACAUCCUACAGGGGAUUUCUCCAAAGCUGUGGAAGCUGUUAUUUGAAAGCUAACAUCCUACAGGGGAUUUCUCCAAAACAGCGGAAGCUGUUAUUUGAAAGCUAACUUCCUACAGGGAAUUUUUCCAAAACAGAGGACGCUAUUUUUUUAAGGCUAACUUUCCACGGGGGAUUUCUCCAAAACAGUAGACGCUGUCAUGUAAAAAUGUAUUUCCUACAGAUACCUAGAGGCAUGACAAAGAAAUGUUAAAAGUUUCCAAUUUGAAAAUUGUUCUUACAUGGAUGUUUAUAUCAAAUAGUUGAAGCUGCCAAGUUAAAACUGGUAUUAUGAAAUAGAUGCCAUUUUAAAAAAAAAAUUUCUUCAAAUAAAAAAUAAAAAAUAACAAACUCUUCAGUAAAAUAACACCAGCAUGGUAAAACUGUUCUUUGAUAAAAAAAAAAAAUAACAAAUUGUCUUCAGUAAAAUAACACCAGCUUGGUAAAACAGUUCCAUAAUACAAAUAACAAACUGUCUUCAGUAUAAU